Molecule: ribosomal RNA, 497 nt
Filed under: uncultured bacterium
Lineage: Bacteria
Description: partial 16S ribosomal RNA
Rfam family: Bacterial small subunit ribosomal RNA
Source: RNAcentral
GAUGAACGCUGGCGGCGUGCCUAAUACAUGCAAGUCGAGCGAACAGACGAGGAGCUUGCUCCUUUGACGUUAGCGGCGGACGGGUGAGUAACACGUAGGUAACCUACCUAUAAGACUGGGAUAACUUCGGGAAACCGGAGCUAAUACCGGAUAAUAUUUCGAACCGCAUGGUUCGAUAGUGAAAGAUGGCUUUGCUAUCACUUAUAGAUGGACCUGCGCCGUAUUAGCUAGUUGGUAAGGUAACGGCUUACCAAGGCAACGAUACGUAGCCGACCUGAGAGGGUGAUCGGCCACACUGGAACUGGGACACGGUCCAGACUCCUACGGGAGGCAGCAGUAGGGAAUCUUCCGCAAAGGGCGAAAGCCUGACGGAGCAACGCCGCGUGAGUGAUGAAGGUCUUCGGAUCGUAAAACUCUGUUAUUAGGGAAGAACAAACGUGUAAGUAACUGUGCACGUCUUGACGGUACCUAAUCAGAAAGCCACGGCUAACUACGUG